RNAcentral lists this microRNA precursor (83 nucleotides) under Vicugna pacos (alpaca). RNAcentral describes it as "miRNA (ENSVPAG00000017546.1)". Lineage: Eukaryota; Metazoa; Chordata; Mammalia; Artiodactyla; Camelidae. The record is from RNAcentral.
GCAUAGUGAUUCAGUUGUGUGUGUAUGUAUAUGUGUGUGUGUAUAUAUAUAUAUAUAUAUAUUCCUUUUCAUAUUCUUUUCAU